Molecule: ribosomal RNA, 496 nt
Filed under: uncultured bacterium
Lineage: Bacteria
Description: partial 16S ribosomal RNA
Rfam family: Bacterial small subunit ribosomal RNA
Source: RNAcentral
GAUGAACGCUGGCGGCGUGCCUAAUACAUGCAAGUCGAGCGAACAGACGAGGAGCUUGCUCCUCUGACGUUAGCGGCGGACGGGUGAGUAACACGUGGAUAACCUACCUAUAAGACUGGGAUAACUUCGGGAAACCGGAGCUAAUACCGGAUAAUAUAUUGAACCGCAUGGUUCAAUAGUGAAAGACGGUUUUGCUGUCACUUAUAGAUGGAUCCGCGCCGCAUUAGCUAGUUGGUAAGGUAACGGCUUACCAAGGCGACGAUGCGUAGCCGACCUGAGAGGGUGAUCGGCCACACUGGAACUGAGACGCGGUCCAGACUCCUACGGGAGGCAGCAGUAGGGAAUCUUGCGCAAUGGGCGAAAGCUUGACGGAGCAACGCCGCGUGAGUGAUGAAGGUCUUCGGAUCGUAAAACUCUGUUAUUAGGGAAGAACAAAUGUGUAAGUAACUAUGCACGUCUUGACGGUACCUAAUCAGAAAGCCACGGCUAACUACGU